GAGUUGAGAAGCAGCCCAGGAGCCACAGAGGGAAACAACCACUGAGUCUUGGCUCCAAGACAACCAUCCCCCACUGGCACCUGGAAACACCACUUGGCACAGACUCUCAAGAAACAACAGCGGCAGCAUCUGCCUUAUAAGAGGCCCACCCCUCUGGCGAUGAAAAGCUGCAAUAUCUGGUCCCCAACUCUGAACAGAUGAGGAACCAGAGGCUCAGAAAGAUUCAGUGACCUACCCAAAACCACACAUCUCAGUUCCAGGUCUGUCCAACUGUGGGCCAUUUGCUCUCAACCUGAACCAUCCUUCAUGAGUGGGAUACAGACAAAGCUGUUCCAGAACCCAAGACGUGGCCUCUACUCAGAAAGAACUUUUUCUGAUCUGCCAUUCUCUGCACCUUCCUGAUCCACUCUGGAUUCAUCCGCUCAGCCUUGGGGCUGGGGACACUGGAGAGGCUCACAUAGUGCUUCCCCCCCCCCCACCCCGGGGACCUUCGGGUGGGGUCAGGUGAGUUGGGGAGGGUGCCACAUGAACAAUGAACUAUGAAACUAGGUGAUGAGAACCACCCUCAAGGCAAUGGGAGCGUCACGAGGGACUGAUACCCCUUCCUUCAGGGACAGGCACAGAAACCUUCACAGAAGCAGAGACUUUGGGCUGGUUUCAAGGGAGGAAGAGGAGUGUGAUGAUAAAGUGAACAUGGCAGAGGGAGCCUCCUGCGUGAAGCCAUGAGGGAGCAGAAAAAAAUUUGUCCGGAGAAUGAUGUGACCAGGAGAAGUAAGGGGCUGGCUUACAAAAGGGUCCUGAAUGCCAAGCUAGGCAAUUCGGACUUUCCCCAGAGGCAGUGGAGAUCCGGGAAGAUUCCAGCUGGGGAGCAGAUAACCAAGUUAUGUUCAUGUUUUCCAAAGGUGGUGUGGUAGGCUGGUGGUAGUGGUGUGGAGAGUGGAUUAGGCAGGGGUUGGGCAUCUGGGGAGAGGCCUGGACUGGAUCCGGGCAGAGGAGAGACUGGCUUGUGUGUAGCCCCAGCUCUGCUCAUCUGAGAAAUGGACCGUCUGCCUCAGUUUCCUCAUCUGAGAAAUGGACCGUCUCAAGGUUGAGCAGAAUCACAUAUGAAAGUGACCACUGCAGUGCUUGGCAUAAAAUUAGCACUUGGUAAAUUCUGCUGCUGCUGAUUGUCCCCGUGUGAUAAAUGAAGAAGCUGACACCCAGAAACAUGCUGUGACAAAGCCGUACAACUCAAGAUCUUCCAA
Molecule: long non-coding RNA, 1244 nt
Organism: Hyaena hyaena (striped hyena)
Lineage: Eukaryota; Metazoa; Chordata; Mammalia; Carnivora; Hyaenidae
Exons: 4
Source: RefSeq, a predicted model, not a curated record